GCCGAGCUUUGUAACGUAAGCUUGUAAUCCAAGUGGAGGCUUAAAUGGUAAUGGAACGUUGUUUCAGUACCUUUGGUCGGGCUCUGGAUUAGGGUAUAUACUGAUCUGCCCAAUCCAAGUCAGAAGUUGAGUCAUGUGGCUUAGGCGAAGGCUUGAGCCAAAUGGGUUCUUAGAGUGGGGGGCAAUGCGUGCUAGGCUGGUUUCACAGAACAGCGAACACCUCCCGUUUCUGGCAGUGGAUGGACUACGGGUUAGAUCCUUCCCAGUCCAAUGUGGCCUUAUGGUCUGAUCACAAUUGAACCAUUACCUUU
This 311-nucleotide signal recognition particle RNA is filed under the name Capsella rubella. Its description in RNAcentral is "Plant signal recognition particle RNA". It matches the Rfam family "Plant signal recognition particle RNA". The record is from Rfam by way of RNAcentral. Lineage: Eukaryota; Viridiplantae; Streptophyta; Magnoliopsida; Brassicales; Brassicaceae.